CGUUCCCACCGCUGAAAUUUUAUCCUCUCGACCCCUCUUGUCCCAUUUCUUCCUCUUCCUUUUUUCCCAUCUUUCCCCUCUCACCUUCCUCAUCUUCAUUCGCAACGCAACUGUUGUGUCCACGGGAGACACUGGAGACGAUGCACGGCUGGGUCCUGCUGCGAAGCUUCCGUCGCCUGGGCGCUCCGAUGCUGCCGGAGGACGCGGUGUCGUGCUCGCCUGCACAAGCUGCGGGUUUUGCAAGGCAGGGGCUUGCUGCUGCUAGCCCGCACGAGCUUCUCCAAGGGCAGCCCCGGCCUUUUUUUUGUAAGGUGACCAGAAACAUGGUUGCUACAGCUUGAGGGAGUAUAUCCGGUGCUCCUCCGGAGUUACUCACGCGACGCGGGGUCGUCGUUCUCCAGCUGAUUGGAUUGUGCUUCUUCCUUCUAAUCCCUUCCUCUGGUUGUUGAUGCCUCAAGCAGCCGCUGCCGAGUGUGUGCUCUGGUUAUCGGAUAUCAGUUGUUCCUUCGUAGCCUCCCUUUGAGUUUAUUCUGUUCCCUUCUUCUGCUUGUUGAUGCCUUAUAUGAAUUGAUCCGAUUGAUUACAAA
Molecule: long non-coding RNA, 587 nt
Organism: Triticum dicoccoides
Lineage: Eukaryota; Viridiplantae; Streptophyta; Magnoliopsida; Poales; Poaceae
Exons: 2
Source: RefSeq, a predicted model, not a curated record